CAAGGAAACAAAAGGAGAAAGAGACCCAAUGGGUGGUAUAUGUGCAAACAGGCAGGCAAGCAUAACAUUUACCACCUAUAUAUUAUCUGCAGCAUACAAUUUACCACCUAUACACCACCUAUAUAUUAUCUGCCUGUUUGCACAUAUACCACCCAUUGGGUCUCUUUCUUCUUUUGUUUCCUUGU
Molecule: non-coding RNA, 185 nt
Organism: Pelobates cultripes (western spadefoot toad)
Lineage: Eukaryota; Metazoa; Chordata; Amphibia; Anura; Pelobatidae
Source: the annotation of a GenBank genome assembly